AGAGUUUGAUCAUGGCUCAGAACGAACGCUGGCGGCGUGCCUAACACAUGCAAGUCGAACGCGAAAAGCAGUAAUGCUGAGUAGAGUGGCGCACGGGUGAGUAACACGUAACUGACAUGUCCUCGAGACAAGGAUAACCGUUCGAAAGGAUGGCUAAUACUUGGUAAGCCCCCGGGUUUGGACCUGAGGGAAAAGGGUCGGGAUCCUUAGGGACCGAUCGCUUGAGGAGUGGGUUGCGGCCCAUCAGGUAGUUGGCGGGGUAACGGCCCACCAAGCCUAAGACGGGUAGCUGGUCUGAGAGGAUGAUCAGCCACACUGGAACUGAGACACGGUCCAGACUCCUACGGGAGGCAGCAGUGGGGAAUCUUGCGCAAUGGGAGAAAUCCUGACGCAGCAACGCCGCGUGGGUGAUGAAGGUCUUCGGAUCGUAAAGCCCUGUCGGAGGGGAAGAUGCUUUCUGUCGCUAAUAUCGGCAGGAGGUGACGGUACCCUCAAAGGAAGCACCGGCUAACUCUGUGCCAGCAGCCGCGGUA
Molecule: ribosomal RNA, 533 nt
Filed under: uncultured Pseudomonadota bacterium
Lineage: Bacteria; Pseudomonadati; Pseudomonadota
Description: bacterial SSU rRNA
Rfam family: Bacterial small subunit ribosomal RNA
Source: RNAcentral